UCCCUCCGUGCUCGGGAGGCUUCACGUUGCUUUCACGUUGCCUGGAGAGUGAGAGGGGUCAGUGCGCACCAACCCCUCUUGCUCUUCAGGCUUCGAAGAUAGUCACCUGAAGCCUCCAGGUGCACUCUGGAG
This is a non-coding RNA of Podarcis lilfordi (Lilford's wall lizard), 132 nucleotides long. Lineage: Eukaryota; Metazoa; Chordata; Lepidosauria; Squamata; Lacertidae. The record is from the annotation of a GenBank genome assembly.